RNAcentral lists this unclassified non-coding RNA (263 nucleotides) under uncultured soil eukaryote. Its description in RNAcentral is "sequence contains 5.8S rRNA gene, ITS2, 28S rRNA gene". The record is from RNAcentral.
AACGCAUAUUGCGCCUAGUGGUAUUCCAUUAGGCAUGUUUGUUUGAGCGUUAUUACAACAUCUCAGCAUUAAAGCUGGUUAUGGGCUUCUGUUUUUUUUCAUAAAACAGGCUUUAAAGUUGCAUGUUCUGCAGGCUGCUUUUGCUAAAUCAAAAACAUAGUACUAUUUCUUGUUUUCUAGUGAGGCAUUGCAUUUGUCUGCCUGAAUAUAAAAAAUUUCUAAGGUUUAACCUCAGAUCAGACAAGAAUACCCGCUGAACUUAA